CUCCAAUCACACAGCCGAAGAAGUAUCUUCACCAGACCAUUCUCUUCUUUCCCAACACUGAUAAAGCCAUUUGAAUGCCAAACCUGGCAGAUACCAUACAGCUGUUGAAAAGUAUCUGUCAACAAAACUAUUACUGUCUUUCCUGGGAUCAACACUAUGUCCUGGACCCUCAAGGUCAGCAGAGCCGCCUUACGAACAAGGGCAGGCGAAAAGCGGAACGCUCACAAGACCAGUGAAACCCAAGCAAUGCUGGCAGGUGGAGGGCCUUCCCCAACUGCUGCAAAUUCUAAAGGAAAAGGCAUUCAUCUAGUCACUAAGAAAUAAGGCAGGUGACCAACAUUUUCUCACUUCGGG
This is a long non-coding RNA of Pan paniscus (pygmy chimpanzee), 354 nucleotides long. The record is from Ensembl. NCBI's taxonomy places the organism in Eukaryota, Metazoa, Chordata, Mammalia, Primates, Hominidae.